GACGAACGCUGGCGGCGUGCUUAACACAUGCAAGUCGAACGGAAAGGCCCUGCUUUUGUGGGGUGCUCGAGUGGCGAACGGGUGAGUAACACGUGAGUAACCUGCCCUUGACUUUGGGAUAACCUCAGGAAACUGGGGCUAAUACCGGAUAGGAGCUCCUGCUGCAUGGUGGGGGUUGGAAAGUUUCGGCGGUUGGGGAUGGACUCGCGGCUUAUCAGCUUGUUGGUGGGGUAGUGGCUUACCAAGGCUUUGACGGGUAGCCGGCCUGAGAGGGUGACCGGCCACAUUGGGACUGAGAUACGGCCCAGACUCCUACGGGAGGCAGCAGUGGGGAAUAUUGCACAAUGGGCGGAAGCCUGAUGCAGCAACGCCGCGUGCGGGAUGACGGCCUUCGGGUUGUAAACCGCUUUCGCCUGUGGCGAAGCGUGAGUGACGGUAAUGGGUAAAGAAGCACCGGCUAACUACGUG
Molecule: ribosomal RNA, 468 nt
Filed under: uncultured bacterium
Lineage: Bacteria
Description: partial 16S ribosomal RNA
Rfam family: Bacterial small subunit ribosomal RNA
Source: RNAcentral